RNAcentral lists this ribosomal RNA (423 nucleotides) under uncultured bacterium. RNAcentral's name for it is "partial 16S ribosomal RNA". It matches the Rfam family "Bacterial small subunit ribosomal RNA", at positions 361 to 776 of the family's 1533-position model. The record is from RNAcentral.
AUAUUUGACAAUGGGCGAAAGCCUGAUCCAGCCAUGGCGGCUGUGUGAAAAAGGUCCUCGGAUUGUAAAACACCUUAAGUUGGGAGGAAGGGUUGUAGGUUAAAACCCCGCAAAUUUUAAGUUACCAAAAAAAUAAGUACCCGCCAACCUCGUGCCAGGAGCCGCGGUAAUACGAAGGGUGCAAGCGUUAAUCGGAAUUACUGGGCGUAAAGCGCGCGUAGGUGGUUCGUUAAGUUGGAGGUGAAAGCCCCGGGCUUAACCUGGGAAUUGCUUUCAAAACUGACGAGCUAGAGUACGGUAGAGGGUAGUGGAAUUUCCUGUGUAGCGGUGAAAUGCGUAGAUAUAGGAAGGAACAUCAGUGGCGAAGGCGACUACCUGGACUGAUACUGACACUGAGGUGCGAAAGCGUGGGGAGCAAACAGG